GGCUGUGUGGUCUAGUGGUAUGAUUCUCGCUUAGGGCUGCGAGAGGUCCCGAGUUCAAUUUCUCGGCACAGCCC
Perkinsus olseni is the source of this 74-nucleotide non-coding RNA. The record is from the annotation of a GenBank genome assembly. NCBI's taxonomy places the organism in Eukaryota, Perkinsozoa, Perkinsida, Perkinsidae.